This 496-nucleotide ribosomal RNA is filed under the name Streptococcus gordonii. RNAcentral describes it as "bacterial SSU rRNA". It matches the Rfam family "Bacterial small subunit ribosomal RNA", at positions 28 to 498 of the family's 1533-position model. Lineage: Bacteria; Bacillati; Bacillota; Bacilli; Lactobacillales; Streptococcaceae. The record is from RNAcentral.
GACGAACGCUGGCGGCGUGCCUAAUACAUGCAAGUAGAACGCACAGUUUAUACCGUAGCUUGCUACACCAUAAACUGUGAGUUGCGAACGGGUGAGUAACGCGUAGGUAACCUGCCUGGUAGCGGGGGAUAACUAUUGGAAACGAUAGCUAAUACCGCAUAAUAUUGAUUAUUGCAUGAUAAUUGAUUGAAAGAUGCUAUUGCAUCACUACCAGAUGGACCUGCGUUGUAUUAGCUAGUAGGUGAGGUAACGGCUCACCUAGGCGACGAUACAUAGCCGACCUGAGAGGGUGAUCGGCCACACUGGGACUGAGACACGGCCCAGACUCCUACGGGAGGCAGCAGUAGGGAAUCUUCGGCAAUGGACGAAAGUCUGACCGAGCAACGCCGCGUGAGUGAAGAAGGUUUUCGGAUCGUAAAGCUCUGUUGUAAGAGAAGAACGGGUGUGAGAGUGGAAAGUUCACACUGUGACGGUAUCUUACCAGAAAGGGACGGCU